This 491-nucleotide ribosomal RNA is filed under the name uncultured Propionibacterium sp. RNAcentral describes it as "bacterial SSU rRNA". It matches the Rfam family "Bacterial small subunit ribosomal RNA", at positions 1 to 507 of the family's 1533-position model. Lineage: Bacteria; Bacillati; Actinomycetota; Actinomycetes; Propionibacteriales; Propionibacteriaceae. The record is from RNAcentral.
AGGUAGUUUGUAUCCGUGGCUCAGGACGAACGCUGGCGGCGUGCUUAACACAUGCAAGUCGAACGAAAGGCCCUGCUUUUGUGGGGUGCUCGAGUGGCGAACGGGUGAGUAACACGUGAGUAACCUGCCCUUGACUUUGGGAUAACUUCAGGAAACUGGGGCUAAUACCGGAUAGGAGCUCCUGCUGCAUGGUGGGGGUUGGAAAGUUUCGGCGGUUGGGGAUGGACUCGCGGCUUAUCAGCUUGUUGGUGGGGUAGUGGCUUACCAAGGCUUUGACGGGUAGCCGGCCUGAGAGGGUGACCGGCCACAUUGGGACUGAGAUACGGCUCAGACUCCUACGGGAGGCAGCAGUGGGGAAUAUUGCACAAUGGGCGGAAGCCUGAUGCAGCAACGCCGCGUGCGGGAUGACGGCCUUCGGGUUGUAAACCGCUUUCGCCUGUGACGAAGCGUGAGUGACGGUAAUGGGUAAAGAAGCACCGGCUAACUACGUG